UACAGAGGUGCCAAGCGUUGUUCGGAUUUACUGGGCGUAAAGGGCGCGUAGGCGGUCGUGACAAGUCACUUGUGAAAUCUCCGGGCUUAACUCGGAACGGUCAAGUGAUACUGUCGGACUAGAGUACAGAAGGGGCAACUGGAAUUCUCGGUGUAGCGGUGAAAUGCGUAGAUAUCGAGAGGAACACCUGCGGCGAAGGCGGGUUGCUGGGCUGAUACUGACGCUGAGGCGCGGAAAGCCAGGGGGAGCGAACGGG
RNAcentral lists this ribosomal RNA (256 nucleotides) under uncultured bacterium. Its description in RNAcentral is "partial 16S ribosomal RNA". It matches the Rfam family "Bacterial small subunit ribosomal RNA", at positions 524 to 776 of the family's 1533-position model. The record is from RNAcentral.